GGUUCUUGCCAGGCCAUUAAAUUUUGAGUUCCAGAAAAGAAAAGGAAAAGUUCUCACACUGAUAAACUCUCCCUUUCCCAAACUCAUCUUCAACCCCCUUGCACUGCCUGUUUAAUUCAGCGUCAUCAGAAAAUAACCCCAAAUGUCUUGCACUCCUGGCUUCUGCUGAUAGAGGAGAAAGGGCUUAAGACCCUGAAAAAAAAAAUUUAUAGGAAAAUUUCCCCAAAAGGUAAGCACAAUAAAAAGUCAAAAGGAGGUACGGGCUGAAGAAUGACUUCCUGCAAUGUGUAAUUUCAAGAAUUAGAGUUUGUCAAAGGUGUUAAAAAUAAAAUGAGUGUGAAUGUCCUACAAGGUUUAUGAGAAAGUUCAGAAGGAAAGUAAAGAAAGACUAAGCAGCAAGACUUUUAGUAUUCCUGUAUCCUGGAGAAGGCAGCACUCGAGCCACCAUCUUGGAAGUGAAGAUCAGGCCCUCAGCAGACACAAAACCUGCCAGUGCCAUGAUCUUGGAUUUUUCAACCUGCAGGACUAUUCAAUGAAAUUCCAAUGAAAAUCUCAAGUUAUUAUGUGAAUAUUGAAAAACGAACCCUAAAGUUUAUAUGGAGAGCCAAAAAAUGCAAAAGAGCCAGCACAUAUUGAAAGAGAAGAACAAAGUCAGAAGAU
Molecule: long non-coding RNA, 660 nt
Filed under: Homo sapiens (human)
Lineage: Eukaryota; Metazoa; Chordata; Mammalia; Primates; Hominidae
Description: HSALNT0319047
Source: RNAcentral